This 253-nucleotide ribosomal RNA is filed under the name uncultured bacterium. RNAcentral describes it as "partial 16S ribosomal RNA". It matches the Rfam family "Bacterial small subunit ribosomal RNA", at positions 524 to 776 of the family's 1533-position model. The record is from RNAcentral.
UACAGGGGGGGCAAGCGUUGUUCGGAAUUACUGGGCGUAAAGCGCGCGCAGGCGGCCCGCGAGGUGUCACGUGAAAGCCCCGGGCUCAACCCGGGAGGGUCGUGGCAAACCGGCGGGCUUGAGGCCGGUAGAGGUGGGUGGAACUCCUGGUGGAGUGGUGAAAUGCGUAGAGAUCAGGAAGAACACCCGUGGCGAAGGCGGCCCACUGGGCCGGUACUGACGCUGAGGCGCGAAGGCGUGGGGAGCGAACGGG